CGCCUACGGGGGGCAGCAGUGAGGGAUAUUGCACAAUGGGGGGAACCCUGAUGCAGCGACGCCGCGUGGGCGAUGGAGUGCUUCGGCAUGUAAAGCCCUAUCAGCAGGGAAGAAAAUGACGGUACCUGACUAAGAAGCCCCGGCUAAAUACGUGCCAGCAGCCGCGGUAAUACGUAUGGGGCAAGCGUUAUCCGGAUUUACUGGGUGUAAAGGGAGCGUAGACGGCAUGGCAAGUCUGAAGUGAAAGCCCGGGGCUCAACCGCGGGACUGCUUUGGAAACUGUUAAGCU
Molecule: ribosomal RNA, 289 nt
Filed under: uncultured bacterium
Lineage: Bacteria
Description: partial 16S ribosomal RNA
Rfam family: Bacterial small subunit ribosomal RNA
Source: RNAcentral